Long non-coding RNA from Rhincodon typus (whale shark), 334 nucleotides. RefSeq lists it as uncharacterized. The record is from RefSeq and is a predicted model, not a curated record. The transcript has 3 exons. Lineage: Eukaryota; Metazoa; Chordata; Chondrichthyes; Orectolobiformes; Rhincodontidae.
AGUACAGGUUCCAGGGCUGGAUCCAGUUCCUCUCCCACAUUCUCCAUCAGACACGGUUUCCCAAAGCGGAUGGCAUUCUCCAGACUUCGCAGGAAAUCGCGAUGCAAUCCGGUCUCCACAAAUCAAAUGUUGUAAGAUGGCUGCAAAGAGACCUUAACUGGUCAGGAAACAGCUUAAAAGGAUCCAUUGGCAUCAUGGAAGAUCAAUGCCAAGUAAAGUCCAUGUCUAGGUAUUUUGCUUCAAGAGCAGAUAUUCCAAGUUCCACAUCCUCCAGACGGCUCUUUGCUUCCUCUAGAAUCUUCUGAGUUAUAUCCAGAUCUUCCUGAGCUUCACG